Molecule: unclassified non-coding RNA, 253 nt
Filed under: uncultured Verrucomicrobiota bacterium
Lineage: Bacteria; Pseudomonadati; Verrucomicrobiota
Description: uncultured Verrucomicrobia bacterium contains 16S-23S intergenic spacer region
Rfam family: Bacterial small subunit ribosomal RNA
Source: RNAcentral
UACAGAGACUGCAAGCGUUAUUCGGAUUCACUGGGCGUAAAGGGUGCGCAGGCGGUUGUGUGUGUUAGGUGUGAAAUCUCGAGGCUUAACCUCGAAAUUGCGCCUAAAACUACAUGACUAGAGCAUUGGAGAGGGUAGCGGAAUUCAUGGUGUAGCAGUGAAAUGCGUAGAUAUCAUGAGGAACACCAGAGGCGAAGGCGGCUACCUGGACAAUUGCUGACGCUCAGGCACGAAAGCGUGGGGAGCAAAAGGG